RNAcentral lists this ribosomal RNA (465 nucleotides) under Vreelandella stevensii. RNAcentral describes it as "partial 16S ribosomal RNA". It matches the Rfam family "Bacterial small subunit ribosomal RNA", at positions 338 to 795 of the family's 1533-position model. The record is from RNAcentral. Lineage: Bacteria; Pseudomonadati; Pseudomonadota; Gammaproteobacteria; Oceanospirillales; Halomonadaceae.
CCUACGGGAGGCAGCAGUGGGGAAUAUUGGACAAUGGGGGCAACCCUGAUCCAGCCAUGCCGCGUGUGUGAAGAAGGCCCUCGGGUUGUAAAGCACUUUCAGUGAGGAAGAACGCCUGGUGGUUAAUACCCAUCAGGAAAGACAUCACUCACAGAAGAAGCACCGGCUAACUCCGUGCCAGCAGCCGCGGUAAUACGGAGGGUGCGAGCGUUAAUCGGAAUUACUGGGCGUAAAGCGCGCGUAGGUGGCUUGAUAAGCCGGUUGUGAAAGCCCCGGGCUCAACCUGGGAACGGCAUCCGGAACUGUCCAGCUAGAGUGCAGGAGAGGAAGGUAGAAUUCCCGGUGUAGCGGUGAAAUGCGUAGAGAUCGGGAGGAAUACCAGUGGCGAAGGCAGCCUUCUGGACUGACACUGACACUGAGGGGCGAAAGCGUGGGUAGCAAACAGGAUUAGAUACCCGGGUAGUA